Molecule: long non-coding RNA, 1574 nt
Organism: Cuculus canorus (common cuckoo)
Lineage: Eukaryota; Metazoa; Chordata; Aves; Cuculiformes; Cuculidae
Exons: 2
Source: RefSeq, a predicted model, not a curated record
UCCAAAUAAGGUGAUGAUAUGCUUUAUGAAAUUCAAAACCAAUAAAAAAACACCUCGUCUAAAAUAGGAAGAAAAUUUUGGCAAAAUUCAUAAGGAAGCUGAAAUUUUUAUUCAAAAUCUGUUGUAGGACCUGAGACAAAAGUCAAACAAAGCUGCUGGCAAGAGAUCCCCACCGGUAUCGCCAGGCAGAACGUACAGGUCAUCGUGAUGCUGAGUAGAAGCUCUACUACAUCUCAGCACACUAAAGAAAACCUUCUCCUGUCCUCCCUUAUCCCUUGUACCUUAGGUGCCAAAGCAAAGCGAAUGGAGCACCUACAAGCAACUCGAGCAACCACCAAUGGCCUAAACAUCUCCUCAAAUUAUCCCUAUCUAUCCAACUCUGACUAAAAAGAAUUCCACGCAAUUUUACUAGAAAUGUGCUGAGCCUAUUUCUUCGUGUUUUAAGAUGAAAGAAAUUCUAAAGGUAUUACCCAUGCGUCAUAACAUCAAACUCUGAAACUAUGGAAAUCACUGACUCCAAUAGCAUCACUUGAGGGAAUAAUGCAUACUACAAAAUAUGUUGAAUAACUAACACCUAAGUUGAAGAAGGUAUAUAUAUACAGACCUACUACACCAGAAUUUUAUUCACUUCUCUCAAGAUACUUCCAUCGGUGAACAAGGUCUACCUACACCAACGAGCAAUGACUUUCUACAACGGCCUCUACAACAACGAGUUCUAUUCACCAUAUCGCUAUGGUUUGGGUGGCCUGAGUGGUUACCGAUUUGGGAGCCCAUAUGGCUACUACCGGAAUCAAUACGGGAGCCCGUACGGCUACAGAAGCUUUGGGAGCCUGUAUGGGAACAGAGGCUUGAUUGGUUAUGGAGGCAAUUAUGGGUAUGGGGGCUCAUAUGGACUUGGGUAUGGCUACCCCUUCUUUGGGAACAGAUACGGCUAUGGAAACUGCUAUUCAUGCUGAACCAGCAGAAAUAGCAACCGAGAAAUGAAGUGCAGGAUAUGGAUUCACGGCUAAGCUCACGGCACUGAGAAACAUCAAGCACCUGUUCCUCUGGCUGGGUUCAGCAGGACAUGCAGGUGCCAGGCUCUGUAGGAAUACCCCAUACCUCUCUACUAUCUCCUAUUUCUUCAACUCUUCCUCUAAAGGGCAACUUGAAUUACAGCAAGUACUGAGGUGUUUUUAUGUUGGUCAAGCAAAGACUUUCAGGCACGAGAACAUUGCCUUUUAAGUUAAUUCACAGCCAGUUGGUAUUGUCAUAGUAAUAGGAGUUUCUACGAGUGUUCUACCAUGAACGAGCCCACUUUGCUUAGCUAUAAACGUCACUGAAGAUGACAUCUGGUAGAGCAGCUCCUGUUAGGCACUCACGCUGUGCCUCACCUGGCAGCGAACAUUAUCUGGAAGCAACUCUGUGAGCAAGAAACACAUCUGGAGUGCCAAACUCAGCCAUUUUUACAUGGAGAGAGCAACAUCCGAUACCAGACACACUCUGCUUGUUGAAGACCCUUUUGCAAAACUGCAGACUUAAUCUUUCUGUUACUCACUCUUUUUCAUCUUCAUUAAAAUUACUCUGCUUAAUAG